AGAGUUUGAUCCUGGCUCAGAACGAACGCUGGUGGCAGGCCUACACAUGCAAGUCGAGCGCGCCCUUCGGGGUGAGCGGCGGACGGGAUAGUAACGCGUGGGAAUAUGCCCAAAGGUACGGAAUAGCCUCUGGAAACGGAGAGUAAUACCGUAUGUGCCCUUCGGGGGAAAGAUUUAUCGCCUUUGGAUUAGCCUGCGUUAGAUUAGGUAGUUAGUGGGGUAAUGGCCUACCAAGCCUACGAUCUAUAGCUGGUUUUAGAGGAUGAUCAGCAACACUGGGACUGAGACACGGCCCAGACUCCUACGGGAGGCAGCAGUGGGGAAUCUUGGACAAUGGGGGCAACCCUGAUCCAGCCAUGCCGCGUGAGUGAUGAAGGCCUUAGGGUCGUAAAGCUCUUUCGCCUGUGAAGAUAAUGACGGUAGCAGGUAAAGAAACCCCGGCUAACUCCGUGCCAGCAGCCGCGGUAAU
RNAcentral lists this ribosomal RNA (469 nucleotides) under uncultured Ruegeria sp. RNAcentral's name for it is "bacterial SSU rRNA". It matches the Rfam family "Bacterial small subunit ribosomal RNA", at positions 8 to 524 of the family's 1533-position model. The record is from RNAcentral. Lineage: Bacteria; Pseudomonadati; Pseudomonadota; Alphaproteobacteria; Rhodobacterales; Roseobacteraceae.